AUAUCAAUAAGCGGAGGAAAGAACAACAGGAGUGCCUCAGUAACGGCGAGUGAAGCGGCAAGAGCUCAAAUUUGAAAUCUGGCUUCGGCCCGAGUUGUAAUUUGUAGAGGAACGUUCGGCAAUGCCGCCGGUCCAAGUCUUCUGGAACGGAGCGUCAUGGAGGGUGAGAACCCCGUACCCGGCUGGUAGGCAGCGCCGUGUGAACGUCCUUCAAAGAGUCGAGUUGUUUGGGAAUGCAGCUCAAAAAUUGGUGGUAAAUUCCAUCUAAAGCUAAAUAUUGGCCAGAGACCGAUAGCGCACAAGUA
Molecule: ribosomal RNA, 305 nt
Filed under: uncultured eukaryote
Lineage: Eukaryota
Description: partial large subunit ribosomal RNA
Rfam family: Eukaryotic large subunit ribosomal RNA
Source: RNAcentral